This 1501-nucleotide ribosomal RNA is filed under the name Limosilactobacillus fermentum. Its description in RNAcentral is "bacterial SSU rRNA". It matches the Rfam family "Bacterial small subunit ribosomal RNA". The record is from RNAcentral. Lineage: Bacteria; Bacillati; Bacillota; Bacilli; Lactobacillales; Lactobacillaceae.
GGCGGUGUGCCUAAUACAUGCAAGUCGAACGCGUUGGCCCAAUUGAUUGAUGGUGCUUGCACCUGAUUGAUUUUGGUCGCCAACGAGUGGCGGACGGGUGAGUAACACGUAGGUAACCUGCCCAGAAGCGGGGGACAACAUUUGGAAACAGAUGCUAAUACCGCAUAACAGCGUUGUUCGCAUGAACAACGCUUAAAAGAUGGCUUUCGCUAUCACUUCUGGAUGGACCUGCGGUGCAUUAGCUUGUUGGUGGGGUAACGGCCUACCAAGGGGAUGAUGCAUAGCCGAGUUGAGAGACUGAUCGGCCACAAUGGGACUGAGACACGGCCCAUACUCCUACGGGAGGCAGCAGUAGGGAAUCUUCCACAAUGGGCGCAAGCCUGAUGGAGCAACACCGCGUGAGUGAAGAAGGGUUUCGGCUCGUAAAGCUCUGUUGUUAAAGAAGAACACGUAUGAGAGUAACUGUUCAUACGUUGACGGUAUUUAACCAGAAAGUCACGGCUAACUACGUGCCAGCAGCCGCGGUAAUACGUAGGUGGCAAGCGUUAUCCGGAUUUAUUGGGCGUAAAGAGAGUGCAGGCGGUUUUCUAAGUCUGAUGUGAAAGCCUUCGGCUUAACCGGAGAAGUGCAUCGGAAACUGGAUAACUUGAGUGCAGAAGAGGGUAGUGGAACUCCAUGUGUAGCGGUGGAAUGCGUAGAUAUAUGGAAGAACACCAGUGGCGAAGGCGGCUACCUGGUCUGCAACUGACGCUGAGACUCGAAAGCAUGGGUAGCGAACAGGAUUAGAUACCCUGGUAGUCCAUGCCGUAAACGAUGAGUGCUAGGUGUUGGAGGGUUUCCGCCCUUCAGUGCCGGAGCUAACGCAUUAAGCACUCCGCCUGGGGAGUACGACCGCAAGGUUGAAACUCAAAGGAAUUGACGGGGGCCCGCACAAGCGGUGGAGCAUGUGGUUUAAUUCGAAGCUACGCGAAGAACCUUACCAGGUCUUGACAUCUUGCGCCAACCCUAGAGAUAGGGCGUUUCCUUCGGGAACGCAAUGACAGGUGGUGCAUGGUCGUCGUCAGCUCGUGUCGUGAGAUGUUGGGUUAAGUCCCGCAACGAGCGCAACCCUUGUUACUAGUUGCCAGCAUUAAGUUGGGCACUCUAGUGAGACUGCCGGUGACAAACCGGAGGAAGGUGGGGACGACGUCAGAUCAUCAUGCCCCUUAUGACCUGGGCUACACACGUGCUACAAUGGACGGUACAACGAGUCGCGAACUCGCGAGGGCAAGCAAAUCUCUUAAAACCGUUCUCAGUUCGGACUGCAGGCUGCAACUCGCCUGCACGAAGUCGGAAUCGCUAGUAAUCGCGGAUCAGCAUGCCGCGGUGAAUACGUUCCCGGGCCUUGUACACACCGCCCGUCACACCAUGAGAGUUUGUAACACCCAAAGUCGGUGGGGUAACCUUUUAGGAGCCAGCCGCCUAAGGUGGGACAGAUGAUUAGGGUGAAGUCCUAAAAAGG